AGUCUUCACUUUUUAUUAGUCUGUGAUAUAUUAGUAAAUGUUAAGUUUUGCUUAACUAUGGUGAUAAACGUUGCUCAAAAUAAGCAAUACGGACCCGGGGGCAGAACCCGGCACCUCCACCAAAACAAUAUAUGGGGGUGACACAGCUUCGACGUUUGUGGUAAAGGUGUAAUUUUCACUCAGCAUGAUACCGCUGUAUAAUGGAUCAUUUUACAAAUGCCAACGAUAACAAUGGUAUUGGACUUGUAGCAGCAAACGAUAACUUCCAAGCGGAAGUUGCAAACGCUGCAUAGGUUCGCGGAUAGGGGGCGCCGGGCAACAGAACGCCCCCACU
Molecule: transfer-messenger RNA, 334 nt
Filed under: Rickettsiales endosymbiont of Stachyamoeba lipophora
Lineage: Bacteria; Pseudomonadati; Pseudomonadota; Alphaproteobacteria; Rickettsiales
Description: Alphaproteobacteria transfer-messenger RNA
Rfam family: Alphaproteobacteria transfer-messenger RNA
About the family: Bacterial tmRNA, also known as 10Sa RNA or SsrA, is named for its dual tRNA and mRNA-like properties.
Source: Rfam by way of RNAcentral